Molecule: long non-coding RNA, 286 nt
Filed under: Homo sapiens (human)
Lineage: Eukaryota; Metazoa; Chordata; Mammalia; Primates; Hominidae
Description: non-protein coding lnc-CDC42SE2-1:4
Source: RNAcentral
GAUUCAGCAGCUUCCUGACUAGAGAUAGAGCCAGAGCAGAAGAUGGGCAGAGUCUGCAUGUGGCUGCAGGACCUCUGUCAGAGAAUGAAACACUCAUCGCAUGAUAGGGCCAGAUUUGAGUGUGUGAAUUUUUGAGUGAAACCUGGAACCCAAAUGAGAAGAAAUCUGCAAGGAAUAACUACUGACAGUGAAUCUGCGGUCAUCUGUAUGCAUAAUAUGGAAUGUUCUUAACCCAGAAGUAGCUGAAUGUGUUACUCCAUUGCUGAGGAGUGACUAUCUGUUAUAG